UACGGAGGGUGCAAACGUUGCUCGGAAUUAUUGGGCGUAAAGCGCACGUAGGCGGCCGAAUAAGUCGGGUGUGAAAGCCCUGGGCUCAACCCAGGAAGUGCACUCGAAACUGCUCGGCUUGAGUAUGGAAGAGGGUUGCGGAAUUCCCGGUGUAGAGGUGAAAUUCGUAGAUAUCGGGAGGAACACCAGUGGCGAAGGCGGCUCACUGGCCCGGUACUGACGCUGAGGUGCGAAAGCGUGGGGAGCAAACAGG
This 253-nucleotide ribosomal RNA is filed under the name uncultured bacterium. Its description in RNAcentral is "partial 16S ribosomal RNA". It matches the Rfam family "Bacterial small subunit ribosomal RNA", at positions 524 to 776 of the family's 1533-position model. The record is from RNAcentral.